UAGCUGCGUUAAACGGUGUGAAUUGCAGGACACGCCGAGCACUUGAUUUUCGAACGCACAUUGCGGCUACGGGUUCGUCCCGUAGCCUCGUCUGUCUGAGGGUCGGAUAACUUAUUGACUGUAAUACAGGCCCUCUCGUGGGGACCCUUCGAGGGACCCCUCGCAGGGUUGUCAGACUGCGCUUGUCCCCUUGCGGCGGCGGCGGUCCGAGACGUCUUGUCAGCACCUCUUGUUGCUCGCACUCGACUACGCACGGCACCGCGCGUCGGCACUGGGCGCGCCCGACCUGGGUGGCACACCCCACAAAGUAUCUCACUUUGUCGACCUCAGAUCAGGCGAGAUUACCCGCUGAACUUAA
RNAcentral lists this unclassified non-coding RNA (358 nucleotides) under uncultured fungus. RNAcentral describes it as "sequence contains ITS1". The stretch from base 1 to 105 matches the Rfam family "5.8S ribosomal RNA", at positions 50 to 154 of the family's 154-position model. Lineage: Eukaryota; Fungi. The record is from RNAcentral.